RNAcentral lists this ribosomal RNA (732 nucleotides) under uncultured bacterium. RNAcentral's name for it is "bacterial SSU rRNA". It matches the Rfam family "Bacterial small subunit ribosomal RNA", at positions 28 to 776 of the family's 1533-position model. The record is from RNAcentral.
GAUGAACGCUGACAGAAUGCUUAACACAUGCAAGUCUACUUGAAGCUAACUUCGGUUAGUGGAGGGUGGCGGACGGGUGAGUAACGCGUAAAGAACUUGCCUCACAGAUUGGGACAACAUUUGGAAACGAAUGCUAAUACCGGAUAUUAUGAUACUUCCGCAUGGAAGAAUCAUGAAAGCUAUAUGCGCUGUGAGAGAGCUUUGCGUCCCAUUAGCUAGUUGGAGAGGUAACGGCUCACCAAGGCGAUGAUGGGUAGCCGGCCUGAGAGGGUGAACGGCCACAAGGGGACUGAGACACGGCCCUUACUCCUACGGGAGGCAGCAGUGGGGAAUAUUGGACAAUGGACCAAAAGUCUGAUCCAGCAAUUCUGUGUGCACGAUGAAGUUUUUCGGAAUGUAAAGUGCUUUCAGUUGGGAAGAAGCAAGUGACGGUACCAACAGAAGAAGCGACGGCUAAAUACGUGCCAGCAGCCGCGGUAAUACGUAUGUCGCAAGCGUUAUCCGGAUUUAUUGGGCGUAAAGCGCGUCUAGGUGGUUAUAUAAGUCUGAUGUGAAAAUGCGGGGCUCAACUCCGUAUUGCGUUGGAAACUGUGUGACUAGAGUACUGGAGAGGUAAGCGGAACUACAAGUGUAGAGGUGAAAUUCGUAGAUAUUUGUAGGAAUGCCGAUGGGGAAGCCAGCUUACUGGACAGAUACUGACGCUAAAGCGCGAAAGCGUGGGUAGCAAACAGG